RNAcentral lists this transfer RNA (83 nucleotides) under Nothobranchius furzeri (turquoise killifish). RNAcentral describes it as "tRNA-Leu (TAA) (tRNA-Leu-TAA-2-1)". It matches the Rfam family "tRNA". From Rfam's summary of the family: Transfer RNA (tRNA) molecules are approximately 80 nucleotides in length. Their secondary structure includes four short double-helical elements and three loops (D, anti-codon, and T loops). Lineage: Eukaryota; Metazoa; Chordata; Actinopteri; Cyprinodontiformes; Nothobranchiidae. The record is from Rfam by way of RNAcentral.
ACCAGGAUGGCUGAGUGGUUAAGGCAUUGGACUUAAGAUCCAAUGGGCAAUUGCCCUCGUGGGUUCAAACCCCACUCCUGGUA